AGUUCGCCGUUUCUCCUCAAACCAACGCAGGACACAACCAGAGGAAGAUCACCUCGGCGCUGCAGUUUCAGAUUGUUAUUGCCCGCGGCGAGGUGAUCGUUCGUCUCCUUCCAAGCACUCAAAAGCAUCUGUCACGUUAGCGGGGUGUCACCGCCGGUGUUGGACAUUGUCCUCUUGCCCAAAGGAAAGCUUCACUCAGCCGAUUGUAUCCUUUACAACCCAUACCAUUCACGGGUUUCUCUCGACAUCCUCACUUAGCAGUGACAACGAUCAGUGGUAAAAAUUAAGAUGGACUGCAGGAGUGUUGUGAAUUUCUGCUUUUCACAUGGCAUAAAGUACUUCUAUUUGUAUAUUAUGGUAGUAAAACCUGCAGUUUGGUAAUAAAAGUUUCGCGUGAAAAAUACCUUUUUAUAUG
Eriocheir sinensis (Chinese mitten crab) is the source of this 415-nucleotide long non-coding RNA. RefSeq lists it as uncharacterized. The transcript is spliced from 3 exons. The record is from RefSeq and is a predicted model, not a curated record. Lineage: Eukaryota; Metazoa; Arthropoda; Malacostraca; Decapoda; Varunidae.